UUGGGAGCUGUGGUCACUGGAGCUGUGGUCACUGGAGCUGUGAUGUGGAGGAGGAAGCGCUCAGGUGGAAAAGGAGGGAGCUAUGCCCAGGCUGCCAGCAGCGAUGGUGCCCAGGGAUCUGAUGUAUCUCUCUCGGCUUCUGAAGAGUGAGGCACUUGUCCGGGACUGAGUGAUGAGA
Molecule: long non-coding RNA, 178 nt
Organism: Myotis lucifugus (little brown bat)
Lineage: Eukaryota; Metazoa; Chordata; Mammalia; Chiroptera; Vespertilionidae
Exons: 4
Source: RefSeq, a predicted model, not a curated record